AUUGAACGCUGGCGGCAGGCUUAACACAUGCAAGUCGAGCGGGGGAAGGUAGCUUGCUACCGGACCUAGCGGCGGACGGGUGAGUAAUGCUUAGGAAUCUGCCUAUUAGUGGGGGACAACAUCUCGAAAGGGAUGCUAAUACCGCAUACGUCCUACGGGAGAAAGCAGGGGAUCUUCGGACCUUGCGUCAAUAGAUGAGCCUAAGUGGGAUUAGCUAGUUGGUGGGGUAAAGGCCUACCAAGGCGACGAUCUGUAGCGGGUCUGAGAGGAUGAUCCGCCACACUGGGACUGAGACACGGCCCAGACUCCUACGGGAGGCAGCAGUGGGGAAUAUUGGACGAUGGGGGGAACCCUGAUCCAGCCAUGCCGCGUGUGUGAAGAAGGCCUUAUGGUUGUAAAGCACUUUAAGCGAGGAGGAGGCUACUCUAGUUAAUACCUAGGGAUAGUGGACGUUACUCGCAGAAUAAGCACCGGCUAACUCUGUGCCAGCCGCCGCCGUAA
RNAcentral lists this ribosomal RNA (501 nucleotides) under uncultured bacterium. RNAcentral describes it as "partial 16S ribosomal RNA". It matches the Rfam family "Bacterial small subunit ribosomal RNA", at positions 30 to 523 of the family's 1533-position model. The record is from RNAcentral.